This 151-nucleotide microRNA precursor is filed under the name Glycine max (soybean). Lineage: Eukaryota; Viridiplantae; Streptophyta; Magnoliopsida; Fabales; Fabaceae. The record is from RNAcentral.
GCAAAAGUAGACACGGCGUGAUAUUGGUACGGCUCAUCUUAAUUCAACCACUAUAUCAACGAUUGAGACGAGCCGAAUCAAUAUCACUCUUGUUUGCUUCAUUGCAUAUAUAUAUAUACUAGCAGCUUUUUCUUUAGAAACCAAACUAUGC